This 516-nucleotide ribosomal RNA is filed under the name Clostridium botulinum C. RNAcentral's name for it is "bacterial SSU rRNA". It matches the Rfam family "Bacterial small subunit ribosomal RNA", at positions 978 to 1496 of the family's 1533-position model. The record is from RNAcentral. Lineage: Bacteria; Bacillati; Bacillota; Clostridia; Eubacteriales; Clostridiaceae.
GACUUGACAUCUCCUGAAUUACUCUUAAUCGAGGAAGUCCCUUCGGGGACAGGAAGACAGGUGGUGCAUGGUUGUCGUCAGCUCGUGUCGUGAGAUGUUGGGUUAAGUCCCGCAACGAGCGCAACCCUUAUUGUUAGUUGCUACUAUUAAGUUAAGCACUCUAACGAGACUGCCGCGGUUAACGUGGAGGAAGGUGGGGAUGACGUCAAAUCAUCAUGCCCCUUAUGUCUAGGGCUACACACGUGCUACAAUGGCUGGUACAACGAGCAGCAAACCCGCGAGGGGGAGCAAAACUUGAAAGCCAGUCCCAGUUCGGAUUGUAGGCUGAAACUCGCCUACAUGAAGUUGGAGUUGCUAGUAAUCGCGAAUCAGCAUGUCGCGGUGAAUACGUUCCCGGGUCUUGUACACACCGCCCGUCACACCAUGAGAGCCUGUAACACCCGAAGCCCGUGAGGUAACCGUAAGGAGCCAGCGGUCGAAGGUGGGAUUGGUGAUUGGGGUGAAGUCGUAACAAGG